CCGGCGAUAGCUCAGUUGGCAGAGCGGUGGACUGUAGUUGCUAGCAGCGAUCCAUAGGUCGGUGGUUCAAAUCCGCCUCGCCGGA
Molecule: non-coding RNA, 85 nt
Organism: Taenia asiatica
Lineage: Eukaryota; Metazoa; Platyhelminthes; Cestoda; Cyclophyllidea; Taeniidae
Source: Rfam